Molecule: small nuclear RNA, 105 nt
Organism: Talpa occidentalis (Iberian mole)
Lineage: Eukaryota; Metazoa; Chordata; Mammalia; Eulipotyphla; Talpidae
Source: RefSeq, a predicted model, not a curated record
GUGCUCACUUCAGCAGCACAUAUACUAAAAAUUUGAACAAUACAGUGUUUAGCAUGGCCCCUGAGUAAGGAUGACACACAAAUUUGUGAAGCAUUUCAUUAAAAA